AUGCAAUCAGCCCUGGGGCCCUGAUGCCCCUGCCCUGUCCAUGGAGCUGUGACCACCUGGGAAAACAGGACAUGAACACAUGAAGCCAUGGUGAGUCAGCAGAUGGCGUGUCGUUCUGUCUGAGCAUGGCAGGAGGUCAGAGAAGGGAAAGCCCCGAAGAUGCCAGAAUACAGAGCCCUGGCCUCUACCUCCCAGCAAGAGCCGGACCCAGCCUGCAAGCAUGACCAGCAUGAUUUCUGAUGAAGCUCCCAACAGCAGUGGCUUUCCAGGCUGCCCGGCCCAGGACCUGACUCAUGGAAAUCCCACCAGGUAAAAGACUUUGGCCCUAGUCAGGAAGUUUAAAGAAAGAUAAACUCCAAAAAAGAGAUUGGGAG
This 374-nucleotide long non-coding RNA is filed under the name Rhinopithecus bieti (black snub-nosed monkey). RNAcentral's name for it is "lncRNA (ENSRBIG00000045660.1)". Lineage: Eukaryota; Metazoa; Chordata; Mammalia; Primates; Cercopithecidae. The record is from RNAcentral.